CCGCGUGGGGGAUGAAGGCCUUCGGGUUGUAAACCCCUUUCAGCAGGGACGAAGCGCAAGUGACGGUACCUGCAGAAGAAGCGCCGGCUAACUACGUGC
Molecule: ribosomal RNA, 99 nt
Filed under: uncultured bacterium
Lineage: Bacteria
Description: partial 16S ribosomal RNA
Rfam family: Bacterial small subunit ribosomal RNA
Source: RNAcentral